RNAcentral lists this long non-coding RNA (1366 nucleotides) under Macaca fascicularis (crab-eating macaque). RNAcentral describes it as "lncRNA (ENSMFAG00000064111.1)". Lineage: Eukaryota; Metazoa; Chordata; Mammalia; Primates; Cercopithecidae. The record is from RNAcentral.
GGAGAAAAAUGAAGAUUCAUUUACCCCAGGACUCUUGCUUGAUUUGUUGCUGAGCUUUUGCCUGAUUUUCAGUCAUCAGCCCCCAAUUUUAUUCCCAGAGCCAGCUAGGGCCAAGCCUCAUUUUCCUGGGAGCCCAAUUCCUCCCCCAUUUUCCUUCCAUCCAGGCAUCAAGCCAUAGGCCAAACGGGGGUCAAGGAUGAUGGCUCAUUGGCAGGGCCAAGCAGGUGCCCCUGGCCUACAUUCAGCCCUGGGGAGCUUUUUGUUUUCGCCUGAACUUCCAAGAAUCUCAAUUCCCAGAUGAGGCAUGCUGUCAGAUCUUGGCAUAUGACACGAAACAUGACCCCUUUUCCCUCUUCUGCCUAAGUCUGAAUGUCCCUUUUCCUCUGACCUACAAUGUAGAAGAUUCUUGCUAAGAGCUGGAUGAGGAAGGCUUUGUGGGGCCAGGCGGGGCCAGGGGGUGGUGGGUCACAUCAACUAGAGCGCAGUUCUAUGUGCGAAGAGGGAAAAGUCCAGCUUCUGAACCUCCAAGAUAGCUUGUUUAAAAUUUCUAUUGAAAGAAUCUAGGGGUAUUUACCUCUCAGCUCUGGACGCUGAGUUUUCAGACCUGCAUAUUUUGGGUAGAAGGGCCCGUGUCAGGCUGUGAAGCCAGUUCCUGGCAGGCCAAAUGUGGCAAAGAACCAUUCAGUAAAGCAGCCAGCCCAGCAACACAGGCCCAGAAGGCAGCCUUCAGAGCUGGUUCAGUUACAGAAGGUCUGAGACCCCUCUUCCAAGCCCCUUUAGGAAGCCUGACUCUGGCUUCCAAGCUGCCUGCUAUCCCCAGUACCUCUCUUUCUGGUGAAGACACUGAAGAACACGGUUGUGUCUUGUUUUCUGCCUGCAGCAGCUGGGGCUAUUUGAAUAUUCUGUGGGAUAUUCCUGGAAGGUGACCUCCCUGGAUCCUCCUCUUUCAGAGUCAAAGGCAAAGCAGGAUGUGGCUGGGAAUUACACUUUUAAGGAACAGCACCAUUAGGUGACGCUAAGCCUCUUAGCCACUAUGUGGCGCCAUUUACCCAUUUUUCUGUGCAAGGUUCGUGGGUGGUGGCUACAUGCAAAGCAAACCAAAUUUCAAAACUUGAAAAUUUUUCAGGGAUCUGGUUCUGACUAGGAUCCUAACAUGUUGAGGGUACUUAGGCAAAUCUCUUGACCUCUAGGAGCCUCAGUUCCUCAUUUUGUGAAAUGAGAGACAGAUAGGGAGUCCCUGAAGUCCCUUCCAGCUUCAUCAUUUUGCAACUAUGUAAGUGAAUUCCCAAUGAUCAUCCAAGUGAUGCAAUUUUGGGCCUUUGGGUCACACAGAGGGUGGGUAAAAAAAAAAAAAAAAAAAAAAAAA